UUGUCCUACGGGACGCAGCAGUGGGGAAUAUUGCACAAUGGGGGAAACCCUGAUGCAGCGACGCCGCGUGAGUGAAGAAGUAUUUCGGUAUGUAAAGCUCUAUCAGCAGGGAAGAAAAUGACGGUACCUGACCAAGAAGCCCCGGCUAACUACGUGCCAGCAGCCGCGGUAAUACGUAGGGGGCAAGCGUUAUCCGGAUUUACUGGGUGUAAAGGGGGCGCAGACGGCGAUACAAGCCAGGAGUGAAAGCCCGGGGCCCAACCCCGGGACUGCUCUUGGAACUGCGUGGCUGGAGUGCAGGAGAG
This 305-nucleotide ribosomal RNA is filed under the name uncultured bacterium. RNAcentral describes it as "bacterial SSU rRNA". It matches the Rfam family "Bacterial small subunit ribosomal RNA", at positions 334 to 656 of the family's 1533-position model. The record is from RNAcentral.